ACAUACGACCACAGGGUGUGGAAAACAGGGCUUCCCGUCCGCUCAGCCGUACUUAAGCCACACGCCGGGAGGUUAGUAGUUGGGUGGGUGACCAC
This 95-nucleotide ribosomal RNA is filed under the name Aspergillus brasiliensis. Lineage: Eukaryota; Fungi; Ascomycota; Eurotiomycetes; Eurotiales; Aspergillaceae. The record is from RNAcentral.